AGGACGAACGCUGGCGGCGUGCUUAACACAUGCAAGUCGAGCGGAAAGGCCACUUCGGUGGUACUCGAGCGGCGAACGGGUGAGUAACACGUGAGUAAUCUGCCCCUGGCUUUGGGAUAGCCACCGGAAACGGUGAUUAAUACCGAAUAUGACAGACCCUCGCAUGGGGGUGUGUGGAAAGUUUUUCGGCCAGGGGUGUGCUCGCGGCCUAUCAGCUUGAUGGUGAGGUAAUGGCUCACCAUGGCUUCGACGGGUAGCCGGCCUGAGAGGGUGACCGGUCACACUGGGACUGAGACACGGCCCAGACUCCUACGGGAGCAGCAGUGGGAAUAUGGACAAUGGGCGAAGCCUGAUCCAGCAACGCCGCGUGAGGAUGACGGCCUUCGGGUGUAACCUCUUCAGUACCGACGAAGCGCAAGUGACGGUAGGUACAGAAGAAGCACCGGCCAACUACGUGCCAAGCACGCCGAC
RNAcentral lists this ribosomal RNA (471 nucleotides) under uncultured soil bacterium. Its description in RNAcentral is "bacterial SSU rRNA". It matches the Rfam family "Bacterial small subunit ribosomal RNA", at positions 26 to 521 of the family's 1533-position model. The record is from RNAcentral.